This 741-nucleotide ribosomal RNA is filed under the name Bacillus sp. (in: firmicutes). Its description in RNAcentral is "bacterial SSU rRNA". It matches the Rfam family "Bacterial small subunit ribosomal RNA", at positions 52 to 773 of the family's 1533-position model. Lineage: Bacteria; Bacillati; Bacillota; Bacilli; Caryophanales; Bacillaceae. The record is from RNAcentral.
AACAUGCAAGUCGAGCGAAUGGAUUAAGAGCUUGCUCUUAUGAAGUUAGCGGCGGACGGGUGAGUAACACGUGGGUAACCUGCCCAUAAGACUGGGAUAACUCCGGGAAACCGGGGCUAAUACCGGAUAACAUUUUGAACCGCAUGGUUCGAAAUUGAAAGGCGGCUUCGGCUGUCACUUAUGGAUGGACCCGCGUCGCAUUAGCUAGUUGGUGAGGUAACGGCUCACCAAGGCAACGAUGCGUAGCCGACCUGAGAGGGUGAUCGGCCACACUGGGACUGAGACACGGCCCAGACUCCUACGGGAGGCAGCAGUAGGGAAUCUUCCGCAAUGGACGAAAGUCUGACGGAGCAACGCCGCGUGAGUGAUGAAGGCUUUCGGGUCGUAAAACUCUGUUGUUAGGGAAGAACAAGUGCUAGUUGAAUAAGCUGGCACCUUGACGGUACCUAACCAGAAAGCCACGGCUAACUACGUGCCAGCAGCCGCGGUAAUACGUAGGUGGCAAGCGUUAUCCGGAAUUAUUGGGCGUAAAGCGCGCGCAGGUGGUUUCUUAAGUCUGAUGUGAAAGCCCACGGCUCAACCGUGGAGGGUCAUUGGAAACUGGGAGACUUGAGUGCAGAAGAGGAAAGUGGAAUUCCAUGUGUAGCGGUGAAAUGCGUAGAGAUAUGGAGGAACACCAGUGGCGAAGGCGACUUUCUGGUCUGGUACUGACACUGAGGCGCGAAAGCGUGGGGAGCCAAC